Long non-coding RNA from Gadus macrocephalus (Pacific cod), 1069 nucleotides. RefSeq lists it as uncharacterized. NCBI's taxonomy places the organism in Eukaryota, Metazoa, Chordata, Actinopteri, Gadiformes, Gadidae. The record is from RefSeq and is a predicted model, not a curated record. The transcript is spliced from 2 exons.
GGAGAAGUCCACGUGGAACAGGCCGAACCGGGCGCUGUAGCCGUCCGCCCACUCAAAGUUGUCCAGGAGGGACCAGGCGAAGUAACCGCGGACGUCGACCCCGUCCUCUUCAAUCGCUGCAGAGAUACACGGACAAAGAACAUAUUGGAUAUUCUACCCCCGCGCUCUGAAUAACAUCGAUGUGACCACUAUGACCGGGGGACUGAAGACCUGUCCCCAGUGUGUGUCCCAUGCGUCCAGUGGUCUUCCUCUACGCCCAGCAGAGGGCGCUGGUCUCCCCGCGGCAGCGGUGCUGGGACCCAGACCGACCUAUAGGGCCGGUGGAUCGUUCCUCCACAAGCCAACAUUGAUGUAUAUCACUUGAUUUAAUGAAAUGGAGUUAUUAAAAGGGUAAUAAUGUAUUAGUCAUUUUAUAAGUACGAGCCUGCUUUUCAGAUUGUCUUUAUAUUUUGGAGUAUAUUCAGCAUGCUUCAACAUUCCUUCAGCUUUCUCUGUUGAGUCUACAGGGUUCUCAUGUGCGUCAUGCUGUUUCGUGCAUUGCUUAUUUUAAUAUGUGGCAAUAAAGUAUGUUUUGACACACACAGACACACACACACACACACACUGGUGUUGUGUGAAUAUAAAUGGAUGUAUCUUGUUUGCGAUACAAUCCUCUUGCUAUUAAGUCACGUCUAUUCUAAUAUCAGUAUAACUUCCGAGCAGCUCAGAGCUCAACGGAGAUGGCCCUUGUUACCAUGGUGACCAGGCCUGUCCAUGGUCGACUUUGUGUUCAAUUCAACUUGAGGAAUUUGCAGACCUGGGUUCAAGUCCCACCAAGAACAUGCUCUGUACUAUUUUGGAAACAAUGUCAUGUCAUUUGACCCCUGGGCGAGAGGGGCCUCUAAAUCUUAUCUCACCUAGGGCGCCAAAAUGUCUAGUGCCGUCCCUGUCCGGGUUCAACUCUCAACUAGAACGCGCUCCUUGGAAUUCCAACUUGAUACAACAAACAGCUCCAUUGCUAAUGCUGUUGGCGAUCAAUAAAUAAUGUCACAUGAUUGUAAGGUAAAUAAUAAACUCUCGCAUGAUCCAA